RNAcentral lists this ribosomal RNA (456 nucleotides) under uncultured bacterium. Its description in RNAcentral is "bacterial SSU rRNA". It matches the Rfam family "Bacterial small subunit ribosomal RNA", at positions 346 to 793 of the family's 1533-position model. The record is from RNAcentral.
AGGCAGCAGUGGGGAAUAUUGCACAAUGGGGGAAACCCUGAUGCAGCCAUGCCGCGUGUGUGAAGAAGGCCUUCGGGUUGUAAAGCACUUUCAGUAGGGAGGAAGGUAGUGUAGUUAACACCUGCAUUAUUUGACGUUACCUACAGAAGAAGCACCGGCUAACUCCGUGCCAGCAGCCGCGGUAAUACGGAGGGUGCGAGCGUUAAUCGGAAUUACUGGGCGUAAAGCGCAUGCAGGCGGCCUGUUAAGUCAGAUGUGAAAGCCCGGGGCUUAACCUCGGAAUUGCAUUUGAAACUGGCAGGCUAGAGUCUUGUAGAGGGGGGUAGGAAUUUCAGGUGUAGCGGUGAAAUGCGUAGAGAUCUGAAGGAAUACCAGUGGCGAAGGCGGCCCCCUGGACAAAGACUGACGCUCAGAUGCGAAAGCGUGGGGAGCAAACAGGAUUAGAUACCCUGGUAG